UACAGAGGUCCCGAGCGUUGUUCGGAUUCACUGGGCGUAAAGGGUGCGUAGGUGGUGAGGUAAGUCGGAUGUGAAAUCUCCGGGCUCAACCCGGAAAUGGCAUUGGAAACUACCUUGCUUGAGGAUUUGAGGGGGGAUUGGAAUACUUGGUGUAGCAGUGAAAUGCGUAGAUAUCAAGUGGAACACCAGUGGCGAAGGCGGCUUCCUGGCCUGUUCUUGACGCUGAGGCGCGAAAGCUAGGGGAGCAAACGGG
Molecule: ribosomal RNA, 253 nt
Filed under: uncultured bacterium
Lineage: Bacteria
Description: partial 16S ribosomal RNA
Rfam family: Bacterial small subunit ribosomal RNA
Source: RNAcentral